This 324-nucleotide ribosomal RNA is filed under the name uncultured eukaryote. RNAcentral describes it as "partial 18S ribosomal RNA". It matches the Rfam family "Eukaryotic small subunit ribosomal RNA", at positions 1470 to 1796 of the family's 1831-position model. The record is from RNAcentral.
CCCUUAGAUGUUCUGGGCCGCACGCGCGCUACACUGAUGCAUUCAACGAGUUUCUUCCUGGUCCGAGAGGAAUGGGUAACCUUUUGAAAGUGCAUCGUGAUAGGGAUAGACUAUUGCAAUUAUUGGUCUUCAACGAGGAAUUCCUAGUAGACGUAGUUCAUCAGACUGCAUCGAUUACGUCCCUGCCCUUUGUACACACCGCCCGUCGCUCCUACCGAUUGAAUGCUCAGGUGAGCCAUUCGGACCUUCAUCAUGCCGGUUUCCGGUUUUGAUGAGGGAAAGUCGUGCGAACCUUAUCAUUUAGAGGAAGGAGAAGUCGUAACA